Molecule: ribosomal RNA, 450 nt
Filed under: uncultured bacterium
Lineage: Bacteria
Description: partial 16S ribosomal RNA
Rfam family: Bacterial small subunit ribosomal RNA
Source: RNAcentral
GUGGGGAAUUUUGGACAAUGGGCGCAAGCCUGAUCCAGCAAUGCCGCGUGCAGGAAGAAGGCCUUCGGGUUGUAAACUGCUUUUGUACGGAACGAAACGGUCCGGGUUAAUACCCUGGGCUAAUGACGGUACCGUAAGAAUAAGCACCGGCUAACUACGUGCCAGCAGCCGCGGUAAUACGUAGGGUGCAAGCGUUAAUCGGAAUUAUUGGGCGUAAAGCGUGCGCAGGCGGUUUUGUAAGACAGGCGUGAAAUCCCCGGGCUCAACCUGGGAAUUGCGCUUGUGACUGCAAGGCUGGAGUGCGGCAGAGGGGGAUGGAAUUCCGCGUGUAGCAGUGAAAUGCGUAGAUAUGCGGAGGAACACCGAUGGCGAAGGCAAUCCCCUGGGCCUGCACUGACGCUCAUGCACGAAAGCGUGGGGAGCAAACAGGAUUAGAUACCCUGGUAGUCC